Molecule: ribosomal RNA, 442 nt
Filed under: uncultured bacterium
Lineage: Bacteria
Description: bacterial SSU rRNA
Rfam family: Bacterial small subunit ribosomal RNA
Source: RNAcentral
CGUCUCCCGCAAGGGAGGCGGGUUCCUAGCGGCGAACGGGUGAGUAACACGUGAGCAACCUGUCCCGAAGUGGGGGAUAACACCGAGAAAUCGGUGCUAAUACCGCGUGUGGUCGGUGGGGGCAUCCCCGCCGAAGAAAGCAGUGAUGCGCUUUGGGGUGGGCUCGCGGCCUAUCAGCUAGUCGGUGGGGUAACGGCUCACCGAGGCAUUGACGGGUAGCUGGUCUGAGAGGACGACCAGCCACACGGGGACUGAGACACGGCCCCGACUCCUACGGGAGGCAGCAGUGAGGAAUCUUCCGCAAUGGGCGCAAGCCUGACGGAGCGACGCCGCGUGUGGGAUGAAGUCUCUCGGGAUGUAAACCACUGUCGGAGGGGAAGAGAAUGGACGGUACCCUCCAAGAAAGCCCCGGCUAACUACGUGCCAGCCGCCGCCGUAACAC